This 981-nucleotide long non-coding RNA is filed under the name Carica papaya (papaya). RNAcentral's name for it is "long non-coding RNA (CPAP_LNC011648)". The record is from RNAcentral. Lineage: Eukaryota; Viridiplantae; Streptophyta; Magnoliopsida; Brassicales; Caricaceae.
UACAGCAGAUAUAUAUUAGUUCUAAAGGAACACCUAGGACAAAAUGCAAGUCUAACUAUAUACACGUAAUACGGAUACAAGUGAUAUGAAAGAAAUGUUACCCAAUCUUGUCCUGACCGGAGGAGGUCUGGGAGGAAGAGUGGGUGGGUUUACUGGUGGUACAGGAGUUGGUGGCUUGACUGGUGGUGCUGGAGUUGGGACCUGGACCGGUGGUGCUGGGCUGGGUGCCUUGAUUGGAGGUGCUGGUGGUUUAGUGACUGGAGGUGAAGGGGUUGGUGGUUUACUGACUGGAGGUGAAGGGGUUGGUGGCUUACUGACUGGGGGAGCAGGAGUUGGUAGAUUGACCGGAGGUACUGGUGGUUUAGUGACUGGUGGCGCAAGAGUUGGUGGCUUACUGACUGGGGGUACAGGAGUUGGUGGCUUGACCGGAGGUGCUGGAUGAGGAUCCUUUAUUGGAAUAUUUGCUGGAGGUGGUGCUGCUACUGGGACCUUUGGCAAAUAAGGAACCUGCAACAAAAUAAAAACUUCCAUUAAAUAAACAUAUCGAAUAGAUUAAGUUUAAAAUAUUGUAUAACUGAUUGUAAUUUAUCUCCAUAAAACCAUUUAAAACAGAAAAAAGAAAAAAAUAAUUCUCUUUCUUGCUACAAUAUUAAAUAGCAUAUUUUGUAAAUAAACAAAAGGGUUUGCUUAAAAGGGUGUAGUGUGCUAAAGCUUCUGACUCAUCCUUUACAAAAUACCAAAGUUUCAGAACAACUAUACAUACAACCCAUGUUCAUAUUAAAAAUCUUCACUAGAAUGAGAAGAAAAUGAAAUCAGCAGCAAACAUUUUAAUUUGUUACAACUUACAGGUAUCUUCAAUUCCUCCUCAUUGGACCCAAUCUGCAAAGAAACAAAGACAUUAAGCCACCAAAAAAAAAAAAACUGACUAUAUUUUGCUGAGGCAGAGAAAAAAGAGAAGGAGAGAGAGAGAGAGAGAGAGAG